Molecule: long non-coding RNA, 2003 nt
Organism: Rhea pennata
Lineage: Eukaryota; Metazoa; Chordata; Aves; Rheiformes; Rheidae
Exons: 2
Source: RefSeq, a predicted model, not a curated record
UUCCUUCUCAUUGCCCUAGAAAAUAGCAGUGUUGCUAAAGAAUGCAGCCUCCAUGUAGCAAAGACAUGACUGGCUGAAAUAUUCAUCAAGACCUCCUCUCUGGAUUAAGGAGGGUUUUUUUGUUGCUGUAAUUGGUUCAGUAUUUGACAGCUAAAAUUCAAAUAGAAGCUUAAGAGCUUAAACAACGAAACGUGAGGAUGUGUUGGCAUGGAUGGGCCAUCUUGCUUCUUCCUUGAGCACACGUGGAGCUCUGCUUGGCAUUAACCUGCGGAGAAAAUCUAGGCCUCCGCAUUAAAAGGUAAUCGAAUGAGUUAAUGCAUCAGUGGUCCUCCCUGAGGCUGGGGUCAGAGAGGGGUCUCCAAAGGCAAAGCCACCUGUGGUGUCAUGGUUGCACACCCUCGUUCCAGCUGCACAGCGUUGCUGGAAAAUAAUUGUAGGUAACUGCCCAGCACUUGGAGAAGCUCUUUGCUAUUCAGCAUCUGCAGUCAGUUGCUGUCUGCUCCUUUGCUUGAGCGAGUCUGAAUCCCAAUGAAUCCUUGCUGUCCUCUGCCUCUGCCUUCGUCUCUCUCGUUUGAUCUCCGUCACUCUUGGCUGCCUCUUAUCCUUCUCUGUCAGUUGUAGCAGCUCUUUUUCUCUCCCUCAAUGUGUUGUUCUCUCUUCCCAGCUCGUAUCACAGAGCAAGUUUCCAAAGCAAUAAGCUCGCAUCCCACCUCUUCCUUGGUUGCUUCCCUUCUUGUAGGUAGGUAGUGUAAGAAGCCGUCGUUGACCAAGAAGCCAAACAAGACCCACAAAUAGAUUGCUUUCUGGCAAAAGUGACUUUUUCUGUCCACCAUGGAAACAGUUGCCCACAGGGUUCUUGUGUUACCGGGGAAUAGGGGCCAUUUAAAACCAGGAUGGUGAAGUGAAGCUCAGAUCAAGUCCCUGCUGGGCACUGCCUAUUUUAUACCCUUUCCCUUCCUAUUAGUGCCACAAAAGAAAUGAGGAUUCUUCAUUUGAGGAAGGGCAACUCUUUCCAGGUUUCUGGAUCAGAUCCUCUGCUGGUGUAAAUAAAGUACUAGACUGCUUCACUCAAGCUGCAGCAAGUGAAAAAUACUUUUUCUGAAGCAUCUUCCUGCUUGUGUUGUUUUUUUCUGUCUUCCUCCAAAUGUCAUCACUAAAAUCCAGAUAUGCAACUUGCCACACUUUUUCCCUUCCAGUCAGAGAGGGAGAAGUAGCUGGCAAGAUAGCUGAGAAACAGCAGAUACAGCCAAAACCGUUACACUUAAGUUCUUAUAAAUAAGGUGCCUCUGACCACGCAGCAAGGAACCUUCAAAGAUGUGGGACCUGUGGACCCAGCAGCUUGGGAACAUGCCAGAUCUAGCUAGAAGGAAUGUAUUUAAAGCACAGCUCUGCAGCUGGUGUACAUGGCUCUGCUGAAGUCCAAACGUCCCUGCUAAGCCCAGUGUCCUGGGUGCAUUGCUGCAGGUAUGACGGCGUGAGCGUUACAACCGUAGCCUAAGGAACGGAGAAUGAAAGGACCUGAGCUGAUGAGGUGGUUCUUAAAUAUUCCCGUGGCUGUUCGGCAGCCCUAGCUGUCAGGAAUAGCUGAUGUAUUUGAAGAAGAUGAGUUGUGACUGUAACAUGGAGGGAAGAAAUGGUGUGUAACUGCUGUUUUCUGCCUGAUGGAGAGUGACUGCAUUUUCUGGUGUAUCUCUACAACUUCGCAGUCCAUGUCCAGGCAUUUAGAGGUUGCUUAGGAAUUGCACUGCCCAGCGUUGCCGGCCUUAGGCGAGUUAGGAGCCUUGUUUCCACGUUCAAGUAUGAGCUGUAGUCUUACUGAAAACCAGUGGGACUUCAUCUCCUACCCACCUAAAUAGUGAAAGGAAAUGGAUUCGUGGCUCCUAGGCUAUGCAGGUACACUGCUGAAAAAAGUACUGAAGUGCACCAGCAAAGAGGGGCAGCAUGUACAGCAGACUCUCCUCUGUAAGGUUGGAGCAGCAAAUAAAAAGUAUUUUCUCUGUCCA